GGACAAAGAAUGAAAUGGGUUUGGAUGCUGAAGAUCAGCUGUAUCUACAUCUCAUCUUUUAUUUCUAUCUGCUGCUACCUUCAACAGCUAAACAGAUGGAUUCCUCCCCUAAUUCCGGUCUGGGAGGGAGAGGUCAGUAGUGUGGGCUUGGCCCCUCCAGUCUUUCCAAACUCUGUGUCAUCAGGAAGUCACCUCUCAUAAGGUGGUUCAUCAGGCCAGCUCCAUCCUCCAGCAGUGUCACUGCAUUGAAGUGGUACACCACAGUGCUUGCACACAGCAGCAGAAACUCUUGACUAACUAGGAGGAAAGUCCUUUGUUGCACUGAGGCUUCUUGGUCACAAAAUUCACAGUCAACGAGCAAACCAAGAAACAAAAUUCCAGGAAAGAAGACACAAUAAACCAGCAGAUUGAAUGAACAAACCAUGCCUGCACUGUAUCAGUGAGUACCUUAAGGCUGACAGUUUGUGGGGGUGAGGUGUGUGCAAUCCUUCUGUACUCAUUAUUUACCACACAAAUUUGCUUUCUGCUGCACAUUUGCAGUGAUGGGCACUCCCUGGUUUUUGUCAAAAUAGAAAGGAAAUGGAAGCAAGACGUAUAUAUAAGGUCCCUGCUCCCAUUUGAAGGUGAGUCCCUACCAACAUGAUAUUUUUUGGUUCUUAAUUCAGCUUGAUUUUUUCUCUAGCCACUUUCAAAUAAGUUAAGCAACAAAGUUACCUCUCAAAGUGAGAUCUGAUUGGCAAAAUAUCUUUUAGGUAUCUUUUUCCUACGAACAAACAAAGACUAUUGAUCUGAGGUCCAUGAGGAACAACAAACACAAAGUCUCUGUAUUCACCUACAGAGACAUUUGCCAUUGCACAGCUGGACUUUGGCAUGCCAUCCUGAACUAGCCCUGAGAUUUGCCAAGAACUUUUAAAUGAUCUUCUAUAGAAUCAGUUUAUCUGUAUUACACCAAACCCAAGCCCUUGUUAUGUUUAGAGGUAUGAAACCAACUGUUUGUUACUAAAUAUUGAACAGGCUAAACACAGUUUUGAGUAAGAAACUUUUGUCACUGGUUUACAUGAAGAGCACUUUGAGAGUGAAUGUCAUGUUACGUGGCUGGCAGAUAGACAUGGAAAGCUUCUUAU
Long non-coding RNA from Falco peregrinus (peregrine falcon), 1124 nucleotides. RefSeq lists it as uncharacterized. The record is from RefSeq and is a predicted model, not a curated record. The transcript has 3 exons. Lineage: Eukaryota; Metazoa; Chordata; Aves; Falconiformes; Falconidae.